CCCAGACAGCCAGGAUGUUGGCUUAGAAGCAGCCAUCAUUUAAAGAAAGCGUAAUAGCUCACUGGUCGAGUCGGCCUGCGCGGAAGAUGUAACGGGGCUAAACCAUGCACCGAAGCUGCGGCAGCGACACUGUGUGUUGUUGGGUAGGGGAGCGUUCUGUAAGCCUGUGAAGGUGGCCUGUGAGGGUUGCUGGAGGUAUCAGAAGUGCGAAUGCUGACAUAAGUAACGAUAAAGCGGGUGAAAAGCCCGCUCGCCGGAAGACCAAGGGUUCCUGUCCAACGUUAAUCGGGGCAGGGUGAGUCGACCCCUAAGGCGAGGCCGAAAGGCGUAGUCGAUGGGAAACGGGUUAAUAUUCCCGUACUUGGUGUUACUGCGAAGGGGGGACGGAGAAGGCUAUGUUGGCCGGGCGACGGUUGUCCCGGUUUAAGCGUGUAGGUGUGUGUUCCAGGUAAAUCCGGUUCACUUUAACACUGAGGCGUGAUGACGAGGCACUACGGUGCUGAAGCAACAAAUGCCCUGCUUCCAGGAAAAGCCUCUAAGCAUCAGGUAACAUCAAAUCGUACCCCAAACCGACACAGGUGGUCAGGUAGAGAAUACCAAGGCGCUUGAGAGAACUCGGGUGAAGGAACUAGGCAAAAUGGUGCCGUAACUUCGGGAGAAGGCACGCUGACA
RNAcentral lists this ribosomal RNA (672 nucleotides) under Salmonella enterica subsp. enterica. RNAcentral describes it as "partial 23S ribosomal RNA". It matches the Rfam family "Bacterial large subunit ribosomal RNA", at positions 1084 to 1756 of the family's 2925-position model. Lineage: Bacteria; Pseudomonadati; Pseudomonadota; Gammaproteobacteria; Enterobacterales; Enterobacteriaceae. The record is from RNAcentral.